UACGAAGGGUGCAAACGUUGCUCGGAAUUAUUGGGCGUAAAGCGCACGUAGGCGGCUUAGCAAGUCGGAAGUGAAAUCCCUCGGCUCAACCAAGGAAGUGCUUUCGAAACUGCUGAGCUUGAGUACGAAAGAGGAUCGCGGAAUUCCCGGUGUAGGGGUGAAAUUCGUAGAUAUCGGGAGGAACACCAGUGGCGAAGGCGGCGAUCUGGGUCGAUACUGACGCUGAGGUGCGAAAGCGUGGGGAGCAAACAGG
RNAcentral lists this ribosomal RNA (253 nucleotides) under uncultured bacterium. RNAcentral describes it as "partial 16S ribosomal RNA". It matches the Rfam family "Bacterial small subunit ribosomal RNA", at positions 524 to 776 of the family's 1533-position model. The record is from RNAcentral.